AUGACUCCGGUUGCUCACAUUGGUAAUGCGCAGCUACAACAAGUGUCUGAUCUUAUCGACCCUGAAACUUGGCUCUGGAAAGAUCAGGUAAUCAGAGAGAACUUCAUACCAUCAGAUGCAGACGCCAUUCUGAACAUCCCCCUAAGGAUUGGCGGUGGUGAUGAUAUUUUGGCAUGGGCUUUGGAGAGAUCUGGUUCAUACACUGUCAAGUCAGCUUACCGCGUUCUCGUGACUCAGAACGAGCAUUUGGCUCUAGAGGAAGGGACGAUAGUCGAAACAUCAACGACAGAGAAACAAUUAUGGACCACAUUAUGGAAACUGAAGGUUCUGCCAAAAGUGAGAGUAUUU
Molecule: ribosomal RNA, 348 nt
Filed under: Triticum aestivum (bread wheat)
Lineage: Eukaryota; Viridiplantae; Streptophyta; Magnoliopsida; Poales; Poaceae
Description: partial small subunit ribosomal RNA
Source: RNAcentral